AUAGCCAUGCCACCCUGAACGUGUCUGAUCUCAUCUGAUCUUGGAAACUAAAUUGUGAUGGGCCUGGUUAGCACUUGGAUGGGAGACAAAUCGGAGUUGAUGGCUUAUU
Molecule: ribosomal RNA, 109 nt
Filed under: Nannospalax galili (Upper Galilee mountains blind mole rat)
Lineage: Eukaryota; Metazoa; Chordata; Mammalia; Rodentia; Spalacidae
Source: RNAcentral